UACGAAGGGGGCUAGCGUUGCUCGGAAUUACUGGGCGUAAAGCGCACGUAGGCGGCGACACAAGUCAGAGGUGAAAGCCCGGGGCUCAACCCCGGAACUGCCUUUGAGACUGGAUUGCUAGAAUCUUGGAGAGGCGAGUGGAAUUCCGAGUGUAGAGGUGAAAUUCGUAGAUAUUCGGAAGAACACCAGUGGCGAAGGCGGCUCGCUGGACAAGUAUUGACGCUGAGGUGCGAAAGCGUGGGGAGCAAACAGGAUUAGAUACCCCAGUAGU
This 271-nucleotide ribosomal RNA is filed under the name uncultured bacterium. RNAcentral describes it as "partial 16S ribosomal RNA". It matches the Rfam family "Bacterial small subunit ribosomal RNA", at positions 524 to 794 of the family's 1533-position model. The record is from RNAcentral.